GAUGAAGAACGCAGUGAAAUGCGAUAAGUAAUGUGAAUUGCAGAAUUCAGUGAAUCAUCGAAUCUUUGAACGCACAUCGCGCCCGCCAGUAUUCUGGCGGGCAUGCCUGUUCGAGCGUCAUUUCAACCAUCAAGCCCUGCUUGCGUUGGGGUCCUGCGGCUGCCCGCAGGCCCUGAAAACCAGUGGCGGGCUCGCUAGUCACACCGAGCGCAGUAAUACAUCUCGCUUUGGGCGUGCGGCGGGUUCUUGCCGUUAAACACCCCCUUUUUACCAAGGUUGACCUCGCAUCAGGUAGGAAUACCCGCUGAACUUAAGCAUAUCAAUAAGCGGAGGA
Molecule: unclassified non-coding RNA, 334 nt
Filed under: soil metagenome
Description: partial contains 5.8S ribosomal RNA, internal transcribed spacer 2, and large subunit ribosomal RNA
Rfam family: 5.8S ribosomal RNA (bases 1-120)
Source: RNAcentral